CCCUCAAAACCCAGGGGAAGCGGGCGGGAAUCCUGGCCAUCGAUGUCCACAGCCAUCAGAAGUGCAGGGAAGCUAGGAUUACAGGUAGCAGGGGGGG
Molecule: long non-coding RNA, 97 nt
Organism: Dipodomys spectabilis (banner-tailed kangaroo rat)
Lineage: Eukaryota; Metazoa; Chordata; Mammalia; Rodentia; Heteromyidae
Exons: 3
Source: RefSeq, a predicted model, not a curated record